This 440-nucleotide ribosomal RNA is filed under the name uncultured bacterium. Its description in RNAcentral is "partial 16S ribosomal RNA". It matches the Rfam family "Bacterial small subunit ribosomal RNA", at positions 338 to 795 of the family's 1533-position model. The record is from RNAcentral.
CCUACGGGGGGCAGCAGUAGGGAAUAUUGCACAAUGGGGGGAACCCUGAUGCAGCAACGCCGCGUGGGUGAAGAAGCUUUUCGGAGCGUAAAGCCCUAUUGUUAGAGAAGAAGAUGACGGUACCUAACUAAGAAGCACCGGCUAACUACGUGCCAGCAGCCGCGGUAAUACGUAGGGGGAAAGCGUUAUCCGGAUUUACUGGGCGUAAAGGGGGCGCAGACGGCAUUGCAAGUCAGGUGUGAAAGCCCGGGGCUCAACCCUGGGACUGCACUUGAAACUGCAAGGCUGGAGUACAGGAGGGGCAGGCGGAAUUCCUAGUGUAGCGGUGAAAUGCGUAGAUAUAAGGAGGAACACCGGUGGCGAAGGCGGCCUGCUGGACUGUAACUGACGUUGAGGCCCGAAGGCGUGGGGAGCAAACAGGAUUAGAUACCCUUGUAGUC